This 125-nucleotide small RNA is filed under the name Marmota monax (woodchuck). The record is from RNAcentral. Lineage: Eukaryota; Metazoa; Chordata; Mammalia; Rodentia; Sciuridae.
GCUGGGCGUGGUGGCACAUGCCUAUAAUUCCAGCAGCUUGGGAGGCUGAGGCAGGGGGAUCAUGAGUUCAAAGCCAUCCUCAGCAAAAGCUAGGUGCUAAACAACUCAGUGAGACCCUGUCUCUA